ACUGUUAUCACCUGCCUAUCAUUUUUCUACUUUUUUUGCAACAGAUUGACAGCUUGAAUAAAAAAACUAUUUUGAAGAAAACAAAGAUUUUUGCAACAAGGACGUCACAGACAGCUAACGGAGUGCCAUGGGACUUGUAACAGCAAAUAUUAAUCAAGAGGAGAACAGAUUUUCUCUGCUAGAAGAAAACAGUAAAGACUGGUUCAUGACACGGUCUGCCCAGAAGGUUGAUCAUUAUAAAUUACUUUAUUGACCCAUGGCUCUGCUCGGCAUCCUGCGCUUCAGUGAACUGAGCAAUCAACACAUGAUAAAUGCAGGCACUGUAGAGCUUUCAGGCUUUGCUCCAGCUUUGCUAGUGACAAGCAGCAUCAUAACAACAACAACACUGGGCACUGAUACUUGUCUUACUGGCAUAAGGUAAUAAAGAGUACACACU
This 436-nucleotide long non-coding RNA is filed under the name Anser brachyrhynchus (Pink-footed goose). RNAcentral describes it as "lncRNA (ENSABRG00000013018.1)". Lineage: Eukaryota; Metazoa; Chordata; Aves; Anseriformes; Anatidae. The record is from RNAcentral.